CAGCUGGUGCAUUUUGACUUUAAUAGCACUCCUUUUGAGCUGCAUGAUGAUAAUUACGUUCUUAAGGCAAUGAAAUUUUGCGAGAGACCACAGAGUGAUGAUAUGGCAUCCAAUCAAGCUACUGAUGGAGGUGAAGGUUCUAGCAUGUCCAACAUGUUCCAACAACAAAUCCUUCCUUCCCCAGGAACAAACACACCAGUUAGGCCACCCACCUCACCGCCUAUUCCUGGAAUUAUAAAAGCACGCAUUAAGCAUGAACAUUUUUAAGUGUGUUACCAUGGGCAAUAAUCUCAGCUGUGNUCUGUAAAUUGUGUAAAGUAGCUUGCAGGAGGUGGGAGUGCGCCUAUAAUUACCUUCACCUUCCUUAUUUGACCCCUCAUUGGGAGGAAUCCAGGUAACAAGCAGUUUCAGUCUCUUUGCCUAGGGACUUACAUGGAAUUUUUAAUUUUGUCAGGUUCCCAGGUUUAGAUCCAUGGCUGGCUAUUGUAAUUGUUUAAUCAUUUUUUUUCGCCUACUGAAGUGAAGGUAGUCUGUCAGUUUAUAUUAGGCUACAGGGGAUUUGACUUAGCAGCACACAGAAUCAUAGAAUUAAGCCAACAAUUUGAUAUUACUUGUAUUGCACA
This 623-nucleotide unclassified non-coding RNA is filed under the name Hevea brasiliensis (rubber tree). Lineage: Eukaryota; Viridiplantae; Streptophyta; Magnoliopsida; Malpighiales; Euphorbiaceae. The record is from RNAcentral.